GGGAAACGACAGGGGAGCGCCACCGGGCGCUGAGAGUGCGGACCACCGCAGACCCUCGAACCUGAUCCGGUUAGCACCGGUGGAGGAAGUCGGGCAUCUCGAUCC
RNAcentral lists this non-coding RNA (105 nucleotides) under Xylanimonas cellulosilytica. Its description in RNAcentral is "TPP sequence". It matches the Rfam family "TPP riboswitch aptamer (THI element)". From Rfam's summary of the family: Vitamin B(1) in its active form thiamin pyrophosphate (TPP) is an essential coenzyme that is synthesised by coupling of pyrimidine and thiazole moieties in bacteria. The previously detected thiamin-regulatory element, thi box was extended, resulting in a new, highly conserved RNA secondary structure, the THI element, which is widely distributed in eubacteria and also occurs in some archaea. The record is from RNAcentral. Lineage: Bacteria; Bacillati; Actinomycetota; Actinomycetes; Micrococcales; Promicromonosporaceae. RNAcentral also lists the same sequence under 1 other name.